UGGGAGAAUCUGUAAAGCUCAGGAGGGAUAGCACCUUCAACCUGAUGAUGCUGUUUAUGUUCAUAGCAGCAUAUAUUUGGCGCUAUCUAUUCUGAGCUUCAUGGCUUCUUCUU
This is a non-coding RNA of Vigna radiata var. radiata (mung bean), 113 nucleotides long. The record is from Rfam. Lineage: Eukaryota; Viridiplantae; Streptophyta; Magnoliopsida; Fabales; Fabaceae.